RNAcentral lists this ribosomal RNA (853 nucleotides) under Phytophthora citrophthora. Its description in RNAcentral is "eukaryotic LSU rRNA". The stretch from base 232 to 386 matches the Rfam family "5.8S ribosomal RNA". The record is from RNAcentral. Lineage: Eukaryota; Oomycota; Peronosporomycetes; Peronosporales; Peronosporaceae.
GUUUCCGUAGGUGAACCUGCGGAAGGAUCAUUACCACACCUAAAAAAACUUUCCACGUGAACCGUAUCAACCCUUUUAGUUGGGGGUGUUGCUUGGCGUUUUUGCUGAGCCACGCCCUAUCAUGGCGAAUGUUUGGACUUCGGUCUGGGCUAGUAGCUUUUUUGUUUUAAACCCAUUUAACAAUACUGAUUAUACUGUGGGGACGAAAGUCUCUGCUUUUAACUAGAUAGCAACUUUCAGCAGUGGAUGUCUAGGCUCGCACAUCGAUGAAGAACGCUGCGAACUGCGAUACGUAAUGCGAAUUGCAGGAUUCAGUGAGUCAUCGAAAUUUUGAACGCAUAUUGCACUUCCGGGUUAGUCCUGGGAGUAUGCCUGUAUCAGUGUCCGUACAUCAAACUUGGCUUUCUUCCUUCCGUGUAGUCGGUGGAGGAUGUGCCAGAUGUGAAGUGUCUUGCGGUUUUUGUGCCUUCGGGCCAUGGCUGCGAGUCCUUUGAAAUGUACUGAACUGUACUUCUCUUUGCUCGAAAAGCGUGGUGUUGCUGGUUGUGGAGGCUGCCUGCGUGGCCAGUCGGCGACCGGUUUGUCUGCUGCGGCGUUUAAUGGAGGAGUGUUCGAUUCGCGGUAUGGUUGGCUUCGGCUGAACAGGCGCUUAUUGUAUGCUUUUCCUGCUGUGGCGUGAUGGGCUGGUGAACCGUAGCUGUGUGUGGCUUGGCUUUUGAAUCGGCUUUGCUGUUGCGAAGUAGAGUGGCGGCUUCGGCUGUCGAGUGUCGAUCCAUUUUGGGAACGUUUGUGUGCGCUUUCGAGUGUGCAUCUCAAUUGGACCUGAUAUCAGGAAGAUACCGCUGAACUUAAC